Molecule: ribosomal RNA, 109 nt
Filed under: Saimiri boliviensis boliviensis (Bolivian squirrel monkey)
Lineage: Eukaryota; Metazoa; Chordata; Mammalia; Primates; Cebidae
Source: RNAcentral
AUUUCUGGUGGAACCUGCCCGAUCUCAUCUGCUCUCAGAAGCUAAGCAGGGUCGGGCCUGGUUCGUACUUGGACGGGAGAAUUUCUGGUGAAACAAAGCACCGGCAUUU